AGUCGAGCGAACAGACGAGGAGCUUGCUCCCCUGACGUUAGCGGCGGACGGGUGAGUAACACGUGGAUAACCUACCUAUAAGACUGGGAUAACUUCGGGAAACCGGAGCUAAUACCGGAUAAUAUAUUGAACCGCAUGGUUCAAUAGUGAAAGACGGUUUUGCUGUCACUUAUAGAUGGAUCCGCGCCGCAUUAGCUAGUUGGUAAGGUAACGGCUUACCAAGGCGACGAUGCGUAGCCGACCUGAGAGGGUGAUCGGCCACACUGGAACUGAGACACGGUCCAGACUCCUACGGGAGGCAGCAGUAGGGAAUCUUCCGCAAUGGGCGAAAGCCUGACGGAGCAACGCCGCGUGAGUGAUGAAGGUCUUCGGAUCGUAAAACUCUGUUAUUAGGGAAGAACAAAUGUGUAAGUAACUAUGCACGUCUUGACGGUACCUAAUCAGAAAGCCACGGCUAACUACGUGCCAGCAGCCGCGGUAAUACGUAGGUGGCAAGCGUUAUCCGGAAUUAUUGGGCGUAAAGCGCGCGUAGGCGGUUUUUUAAGUCUGAUGUGAAAGCCCACGGCUCAACCGUGGAGGGUCAUUGGAAACUGGAAAACUUGAGUGCAGAAGAGGAAAGUGGAAUUCCAUGUGUAGCGGUGAAAUGCGCAGAGAUAUGGAGGAACACCAGUGGCGAAGGCGACUUUCUGGUCUGUAACUGACGCUGAUGUGCGAAAGCGUGGGGAUCAAAC
Molecule: ribosomal RNA, 731 nt
Filed under: uncultured Staphylococcus sp.
Lineage: Bacteria; Bacillati; Bacillota; Bacilli; Caryophanales; Staphylococcaceae
Description: bacterial SSU rRNA
Rfam family: Bacterial small subunit ribosomal RNA
Source: RNAcentral